AGAGUUUGAUCCUGGCUCAGGAUGAACGCUGGCGGCGUGCUUAACACAUGCAAGUCGAACGAUGACUUUUGUGCUUGCACAGAAUGAUUAGUGGCGAACGGGUGAGUAACACGUGAGUAACCUGCCCCUGACUCUGGGAUAAGCCUGGGAAACUGGGUCUAAUACUGGAUAUGCACCGUAGACCGCAUGGUUUUGGUGGAAAGAAUUUUGGUCAGGGAUGGACUCGCGGCCUAUCAGCUUGUUGGUGAGGUAAUGGCUCACCAAGGCGACGACGGGUAGCCGGCCUGAGAGGGUGACCGGCCACACUGGGACUGAGACACGGCCCAGACUCCUACGGGAGGCAGCAGUGGGGAAUAUUGCACAAUGGGCGAAAGCCUGAUGCAGCGACGCCGCGUGAGGGAUGACGGCCUUCGGGUUAUAAACCUCUUUCAGUAGGGAAGAAGCGAAAGUGACGGUACCUGCAGAAGAAGCGCCGGCUAACUACGUG
This 487-nucleotide ribosomal RNA is filed under the name uncultured Arthrobacter sp. RNAcentral's name for it is "bacterial SSU rRNA". It matches the Rfam family "Bacterial small subunit ribosomal RNA", at positions 8 to 507 of the family's 1533-position model. The record is from RNAcentral. Lineage: Bacteria; Bacillati; Actinomycetota; Actinomycetes; Micrococcales; Micrococcaceae.